GUAUUCGCUUCAGCAGCACAUAUACUAAAAUUGGAACAAUACAGAGAAGAUUAACAUGGCCCCUGCACAAGGAUGACAUGCAAAUUUGUGAAACAUUCCAUAUUUGA
RNAcentral lists this small nuclear RNA (107 nucleotides) under Microcebus murinus (gray mouse lemur). Lineage: Eukaryota; Metazoa; Chordata; Mammalia; Primates; Cheirogaleidae. The record is from RNAcentral.